CUCUCUCUCUCUCUCUCUCUCUCUCUCUCUCAUGUCUCACUCUCUCUCUAAGUCGCUCGAAUCACUCACAAGUGCUCCUUGAUUCUCUCUCCCUCCUCUCGGCUCGUGGGAUCUCGUUUUCAAGCUCUGCUCCAAAAGUUACGAUUUCGUUUUUUGGGAGUUUCGGGUCAUUUUUCAAGAAUCAAGUCCUUCGAGGGAUCGAGUCUAGCGUACCGCCGGGCUGGUGUUAGACAAUUGUUAGAUAUUGUCAGAGCUGGUGAGACAGGUAACGGUUUUUAUGCUUUUGGGGUUUGUAAUAUUAUGAUAUGGAUUUGGUAUGUAGUUGGGAACAGUUAGAAACUCUGGUAAGUAUUUGAUGUAAUAGAAAUUUUUCCGCUGUGUAUGUAUAUGAUGAUUAGGAUAGAACACCCGUUUUCCCUUGUUAGGGCGGGUUAUAUAUAUUUAUGGUAUCAGAGAAAUGUGUAUGUUAUGUUUUAGUAGCACUCUGGGCCUGAGUAGAGGGUCGGGACGUUACAAAUAUUCAAAAGAGUAUAGACUUAUGAGUACCCUAACUGGUUUGCCAAGCCCAAACAUUAAGCAAGAAACCACAAAUCUUGAGCCACCGAAUUGGUAACAUGUAAAAGAAAAUCUGACAUGCUGGCAUGGCUUACAAAGAGAAUUGAACCACACCAAAUAAAUCAGAUCAAGAAAUGCCUAACCGAACCUCACAAGUCAGCGUGUAGCAUUGGAGCUGGGAACUAGCAGGAUGAGUGAGGUGGUGCCCAACAACAAUCUUUCAAAGGUGGCAGAUCACCAAGUUCUAAGGAUGCCUACGGUUAUUCUUUUUCAAGAGAAGAAGAACAAGAAGGGGGAAAAAGAACCCAAAGAUGGUUGAAUUGAACUGGGCAUAGCAUCCUACUGGCUGUCAAAGACUCAGACUUGUCGUCCGGCACGAGUUGCAGUUCUAGGAUGGAGGGUAUGGUGUAAAGAGAGUUUUACGUUGUCGUCUCUUAGCCUUUUAGGUCUUACAUCUUUGCUAUGAUACCAUGUCAAAAAGUUUCUGCAACUUGUAACGCCCCAGUCCCAACUUAUGGCCCGAGUGUUACUGUAGUGACGUCUGUGUACCUGAUAUCCUUCUCAACAGAUAUAUACGCAGUGGAAAACAUAAACAUCCAUCAAACUAUUACAAGAGUUCUAACUGCUUGAUAGAUA
Molecule: long non-coding RNA, 1191 nt
Organism: Malania oleifera
Lineage: Eukaryota; Viridiplantae; Streptophyta; Magnoliopsida; Santalales; Ximeniaceae
Exons: 2
Source: RefSeq, a predicted model, not a curated record